GUGAACGCUGGCGGCAGGCCUAACACAUGCAAGUCGAGCGGCAGCGCGGGGCAACCUGGCGGCGAGCGGCGGACGGGUGAGUAACGCGUAGGAAUCUACCCAGUAGCGGGGGAUAGCCCGGGGAAACUCGGAUUAAUACCGCAUACGCCCUAAGGGGGAAAGCAGGGGAUCUUCGGACCUUGCACUAUUGGCAGAGCCUGCGUUGGAUUAGCUAGUUGGUAGGGUAAAGGCCUACCAAGGCAACGAUCAAUAACUGGUCUGAGAGGAUGAUCAGUCCCACCGGAACGGAGAAACGGUCCGGGUUCCUACGGGAGGCAGCAGUGGGACAUAUUGGACAAUGGGGGCAACCCUGACCCAGCCGUGCCGCGUGUGUGAAGAAGGCCUUCGGGUUGUAAAGCACUUUAAGUGGGGAGAAAGGUUCGGCAGUUAAUACCUGCCGUAAGUGAUGUUACCCACAGAAUAAGCACCGGCUAACUUCGUGCCAGCCGCCGCCGUAA
RNAcentral lists this ribosomal RNA (497 nucleotides) under uncultured bacterium. Its description in RNAcentral is "partial 16S ribosomal RNA". It matches the Rfam family "Bacterial small subunit ribosomal RNA", at positions 29 to 523 of the family's 1533-position model. The record is from RNAcentral.